Long non-coding RNA from Leopardus geoffroyi (Geoffroy's cat), 225 nucleotides. RefSeq lists it as uncharacterized. NCBI's taxonomy places the organism in Eukaryota, Metazoa, Chordata, Mammalia, Carnivora, Felidae. The record is from RefSeq and is a predicted model, not a curated record. The transcript is spliced from 3 exons.
CAAACUUCCUCCUCAACAACCAAUGUGCGCUCGAUGUUUAGUGACUUCUGAAAUGAAACCACAGCCUUUUAUACUUUUCCAAAACCAGCUGAUGACAGAAGCAGCAUUCACCAACACAAACCCCUGCUUUCACACCCCUUCUGGAUCAGCACACUCCGUAGCUUCCCUGCUAACAAACUAGCAAACGUUGAGUUGCGCUUGAGAUCGGAAGAGCACACGACUGAA